RNAcentral lists this unclassified non-coding RNA (387 nucleotides) under Hevea brasiliensis (rubber tree). The record is from RNAcentral. Lineage: Eukaryota; Viridiplantae; Streptophyta; Magnoliopsida; Malpighiales; Euphorbiaceae.
CGUUUCACUAAAUUAGAUGCCACUCGCCCCAUUAGAGAAAAAUCAUCAAGGAAUUUAUCUGCUUUAUCUUUAAGAGCUUUAGGCAAUUCCGAAAUAUAAGUAUUAAAUNGUGCCAAGCUGACCACCACAUCUUUUCUGAAUCAUGUCUUGAUUCACUGCCAAUUCUUUAAAUUUUGCAACAAAGCUUGUUUGAUGAACAUCCACGCCAUCUUCCCCAUAAUAAAACUGAACGAUUGAUCCGUCAGCAUCACGAACUGUAUGAUCAUAGCCAAUUUUCAGACACUCGAGAUUUUUAAUCAGGCAUCUUUGAAGGUAUCCACUGCGAGAUGUUUUGACUGCUGUAUCAACAAGCCCCUCACGACCAGCCAUGCAAUGAAAAUAAUAUUC